Molecule: ribosomal RNA, 506 nt
Filed under: uncultured bacterium
Lineage: Bacteria
Description: partial 16S ribosomal RNA
Rfam family: Bacterial small subunit ribosomal RNA
Source: RNAcentral
AGUGAACGCUGGCGGUAGGCCUAACACAUGCAAGUCGAACGGCAGCACAGGAGAGCUUGCUCUCUGGGUGGCGAGUGGCGGACGGGUGAGGAAUACAUCGGAAUCUACUCUGUCGUGGGGGAUAACGUAGGGAAACUUACGCUAAUACCGCAUACGACCUACGGGUGAAAGCAGGGGACCUUCGGGCCUUGCGCGAUUGAAUGAGCCGAUGUCGGAUUAGCUAGUUGGAGGGGUAAAGGACCACCAAGACGACGAUCCGUAGCUGGUCUGAGAGGAUGAUCAGCCACACUGGAACUGAGACACGGUCCAGACUCCUACGGGAGGCAGCAGUGGGGAAUAUUGGACAAUGGGCGCAAGCCUGAUCCAGCCAUACCGCGUGGGUGAAGAAGGCCUUCGGGUUGUAAAGCCCUUUUGUUGGGAAAGAAAUCCAGCUGGCUAAUACCCGGUUGGGAUGACGGUACCCAAAGAAUAAGCACCGGCUAACUUCGUGCCAGCAGCCGCCGUAA